GAUGAACGCUAGCGGCAGGCUUAAUACAUGCAAGUCGAGGGGCAGCAUGAAGUAGCAAUCCUUUGAUGGCGACCGGCAAACGGGUGCGGAACACGUACACAACCUUCCUUUAAGUGGGGAAUAGCCCAGAGAAAUUUGGAUUAAUACCCCGUAUCACAACGAAGUGGCAUCACUUUGUUGUUAUAGUUUCGGCGCUUAAUGAUGGGUGUGCGUAUGAUUAGAUAGUUGGCGAGGUAACGGCUCACCAAGUCUACGAUCAUUAGCUGAUGUGAGAGCAUGAUCAGCCACACGGGCACUGAGACACGGGCCCGACUCCUACGGGAGGCAGCAGUAAGGAAUAUUGGUCAAUGGACGCAAGUCUGAACCAGCCAUGCCGCGUGAAGGAUUAAGGUCCUCUGGAUUGUAAACUUCUUUUAUAUGGGACGAAAAAAGGUCUUUCUAGACCCCUUGACGGUACCAUAUGAAUAAGCACCGGCUAACUCCGUG
This 486-nucleotide ribosomal RNA is filed under the name uncultured bacterium. Its description in RNAcentral is "partial 16S ribosomal RNA". It matches the Rfam family "Bacterial small subunit ribosomal RNA", at positions 28 to 507 of the family's 1533-position model. The record is from RNAcentral.